Molecule: ribosomal RNA, 424 nt
Filed under: uncultured Sphingobacteriales bacterium
Lineage: Bacteria; Pseudomonadati; Bacteroidota; Sphingobacteriia; Sphingobacteriales
Description: bacterial SSU rRNA
Rfam family: Bacterial small subunit ribosomal RNA
Source: RNAcentral
AGGGAAUAUUGGACAAUGGACGCAAGUCUGAUCCAGCCAUCCCGCGUGAAGGAUUAAGGCCCUAUGGGUUGUAAACUUCUUUUCUUUGGGAAUAAAAAGCGGUAUUCAUAUCGCCUUGAAGGUACCAGAGGAAUAAGCACCGGCUAACUCCGUGCCAGCAGCCGCGGUAAUACGGAGGGUGCAAGCGUUAUCCGGAUUCACUGGGUUUAAAGGGUGCGUAGGUGGCUUUGUAAGUCAGCGGUGAAAGCCUGGAGCUCAACUCCAGAAUUGCCAUUGAUACUGCAGAGCUUGAAUCAAGUUGAGGUGGAUGGAAUAUUACAUGUAGCGGUGAAAUGCUUAGAUAUGUAAUAGAACACCGAUUGCGAAGGCAGUUCACUAAGCUUGUAUUGACACUGAGGCACGAAAGCGUGGGGAUCAAACAGGA